GCCCGGAAACGGAAGUCUCGUUCUUUUUCGUCCUUUUCCCCGGUUGCUGCUUGCUGUGAGUGUCUCUAGGGUGAUACGUGGGUGAGAAAGGUCCUGGUCCGCGCCAGAGCCCAGCGCGCCUCGUCGCCAUGCCUCGGAAAAUUGAGGAAAUCAAGGACUUCCUGCUCACAGCCCGACGAAAGGAUGCCAAAUGUUUGGCAGUGAAGGAACUGAAAUGAACCAGACACACUGAUUGGAACUGUAUUAUAUUAAAAUACUAAAAAUCCU
Molecule: long non-coding RNA, 267 nt
Filed under: Homo sapiens (human)
Lineage: Eukaryota; Metazoa; Chordata; Mammalia; Primates; Hominidae
Description: HSALNT0245096
Source: RNAcentral